AUUGAACGCUGGCGGCAUGCCUUACACAUGCAAGUCGAACGGCAGCACGGGUGCUUGCACCUGGUGGCGAGUGGCGAACGGGUGAGUAAUACAUCGGAACAUACCUUAUCGUGGGGGAUAACGCAGCGAAAGCUGUGCUAAUACCGCAUACGCCCUGAGGGGGAAAGCGGGGGAUCGCAAGACCUCGCGCGAUUAGAGCGGCCGAUGCCUGAUUAGCUUGUUGGUGGGGUAAAAGCCCACCGAGGCGACGAUCAGUAGCUGAUCUGAGAGGACGAUCAGCCAAACUGGGACUGAGACACGGCCCAGACUCCUACGGGAGGCAGCAGUGGGGAAUUUUGGACAAUGGGGGCAACCCUGAUCCAGCAAUGCCGCGUGAGUGAAGAAGGCCUUCGGGUUGUAAAGCCCUGUCGGGUGGAAAGAACGACUGUGGGGCGAAUAGUCCUACAGUGUGACGGUACCACCGAAGGAAGCACCGGCCAAUUCCGUGCCAGCCGCCGCAGUAA
This 503-nucleotide ribosomal RNA is filed under the name uncultured bacterium. RNAcentral describes it as "partial 16S ribosomal RNA". It matches the Rfam family "Bacterial small subunit ribosomal RNA", at positions 29 to 523 of the family's 1533-position model. The record is from RNAcentral.